Molecule: small nucleolar RNA, 84 nt
Organism: Ananas comosus (pineapple)
Lineage: Eukaryota; Viridiplantae; Streptophyta; Magnoliopsida; Poales; Bromeliaceae
Source: Rfam
GAGCAAAUGAUGAUAUGAAAACAUGAUUGAGCGAGAUGUCUCUAUGAAAUCUCACAAAAUCGAGCUUUUUAAAACUGAUGCUCA